This 257-nucleotide ribosomal RNA is filed under the name uncultured bacterium. RNAcentral describes it as "partial 16S ribosomal RNA". It matches the Rfam family "Bacterial small subunit ribosomal RNA", at positions 793 to 1055 of the family's 1533-position model. The record is from RNAcentral.
GUCCACGCCGUAAACGAUGGAUACUAGCUGUUUGGUUGUAAGACUGAGUGGCUAAGCGAAAGUGAUAAGUAUCCCACCUGGGGAGUACGGGCGCAAGCCUGAAACUCAAAGGAAUUGACGGGGGCCCGCACAAGCGGUGGAGCAUGUGGUUUAAUUCGAUGAUACGCGAGGAACCUUACCAGGGCUUAAAUGUAGAUUGACAGGUUUGGAAACAGAUUUUUCUUCGGACAAUUUACAAGGUGCUGCAUGGUUGUCGU